UCAAAGCAUUAAGCCAUGGCAUGUCUAAGUAUAAGCAAUUAUACCGUGNAAACUGCGAAUGGCUCAUUAAAUCAGUUAUCGUUUAUUUGAUAGUACCUUACUACUUGGUAUNACCGUGGCUAAUUCUAGAGCUAAUACAUGCUGUAAAACCGCAACUUCNGNAAGCGGUGUAUUUAUUAGAUAAAAAACCAACGCCCUUCGGGGCUUCUUGGUGAUUCAUGAUAACUUUACGGCAUCGCAUGGCCUUGCNCCGGCGACGGUUCAUUCAAAUUUCUGCCCUAUCAACUUUCNAUGGGAAGGUAUUGGCUUACCNUGGUUUCAACGGGUAACGGGGUAAUUAGGGUUUCGAUUCCGGAGAGGGAGCCNGANAAACGGCUACCACAUCCAAGGAAGGNAGCANGCGCGCAAAUUACCCAAUCCCGACACGGGGGAGGGUAGUGNCAAUANAAUACUGAUNCCGCGGCCUCCUUUUGGGUCCUUGUAAAUUGNGAAUGNANUNCAAUUUAAAACCUCUUNAACGNGGCAACAAAUUGGUANGGCAAACNCCUGGNNGCCCCUCA
This 560-nucleotide ribosomal RNA is filed under the name uncultured Ascomycota. RNAcentral's name for it is "partial 18S ribosomal RNA". The stretch from base 1 to 446 matches the Rfam family "Eukaryotic small subunit ribosomal RNA", at positions 37 to 475 of the family's 1831-position model. Lineage: Eukaryota; Fungi; Ascomycota. The record is from RNAcentral.